This 202-nucleotide ribosomal RNA is filed under the name uncultured bacterium. RNAcentral describes it as "partial 16S ribosomal RNA". It matches the Rfam family "Bacterial small subunit ribosomal RNA", at positions 524 to 726 of the family's 1533-position model. The record is from RNAcentral.
UACGGAGGGUGCAAGCGUUAUCCGGAUUCACUGGGUUUAAAGGGUGCGUAGGCGGGUUGGUAAGUCCGUGGUGAAAUCUCCAGCUUAACUUGGAAACUGCCGUGGAUACUAUCAAUCUUGAAUGUCGUGGAGGUAAGCGGAAUAUGUCAUGUAGCGGUGAAAUGCUUAGAGAUGACAUAGAACACCAAUUGCGUAGGCAGCU